GCUAACUGCGCAUUCCGGACGAUGCUACAGGGUUGAAGUAGAGAAAGCCGCAGCUCUGGGGGCCACGGGGGCCACGGUGCAGGCGGCUGGCACAGCUGGCACAGCGUGCCAUGGUCAGAAGUCCCACGUGACCGGCCUCGGGGGCUACCGUCGAGGCGACCCAGAGCUGAGGUCCUGCUCUGCCGAGAAUCCGUUUCCCGGCCCUUUCUGGCUUCCAGAGGCCCCUCGAAGCAGCAACACCGCAUCACUCUGGCCAGUCCUCCACAUCAUAUCUCCCUCCACCUCUUCUGUGCCCUCUGCCACAGGACGGCCUGCCUCAAGUCCACCAACCAGGGAGCUUCUCAGGGGGCCUCAAGGCCCCUGCCGCCUUGUGGGGGCUCCCAGCUUCCUGUGUCCCGCCCCCCACCCACACAGCAGCCCCACAGCCUUGGGCAUUCCUGCUUUCCGCAGAGCCUGGCAUUCUCUGCUCCCAGCCCAGGCCAUCACUCACCACCACCCCUCCCCAGGCCUAGAGUCCACAGAAGCUUUGU
Molecule: long non-coding RNA, 530 nt
Organism: Lepus europaeus (European hare)
Lineage: Eukaryota; Metazoa; Chordata; Mammalia; Lagomorpha; Leporidae
Exons: 3
Source: RefSeq, a predicted model, not a curated record